Molecule: ribosomal RNA, 489 nt
Filed under: uncultured bacterium
Lineage: Bacteria
Description: partial 16S ribosomal RNA
Rfam family: Bacterial small subunit ribosomal RNA
Source: RNAcentral
GACGAACGCUGGCGGCGUGCUUAACACAUGCAAGUCGAACGGAAAGGCCCCCAUCUUGGUGGGGGUGCUCGAGUGGCGAACGGGUGAGUAACACGUGGGUGAUCUGCCCUGUACUUCGGGAUAAGCUUGGGAAACUGGGUCUAAUACCGGAUAGGACCAUGGUUUAGUGUCUCAUGGUGGAAAGAUUAUUGUUUUGGUGCAGGAUGAGCUCGCGGCCUAUCAGCUUGUUGGUGGGGUAAUGGCCUACCAAGGCGUCGACGGGUAGCCGGCCUGAGAGGGUGGACGGCCACAUUGGGACUGAGAUACGGCCCAGACUCCUACGGGAGGCAGCAGUGGGGAAUAUUGCACAAUGGGCGCAAGCCUGAUGCAGCGACGCCGCGUGGGGGAUGACGGCCUUCGGGUGGUAAACUCCUUUCGUUAGGGACGAAGCCGCACUUUUUUUGGGUGUGGUGACGGUACCUUUGUUAAGAAGCACCGGCUAACUACGUG